RNAcentral lists this ribosomal RNA (253 nucleotides) under uncultured bacterium. RNAcentral describes it as "partial 16S ribosomal RNA". It matches the Rfam family "Bacterial small subunit ribosomal RNA", at positions 524 to 776 of the family's 1533-position model. The record is from RNAcentral.
UACGUAGGGUGCAAGCGUUGUCCGGAAUUACUGGGCGUAAAGGGCGCGUAGGCGGCCUUCUAAGUCAGACGUGAAAUCCCCCGGCUUAACCUGGGAACUGCGUCUGAUACUGGGAGGCUUGAGUAUGGGAGAGGGAUGUAGAAUUCCAGGUGUAGCGGUGAAAUGCGUAGAUAUCUGGAGGAAUACCGGUGGCGAAGGCGGCAUCCUGGACCAUUACUGACGCUGAGGCGCGAAAGCUAGGGGAGCAAACGGG